GAUGAACGCUGGCGGCGUGCCUAAUACAUGCAAGUCGAGCGAACGGACGAGAAGCUUGCUUCUCUGAUGUUAGCGGCGGACGGGUGAGUAACACGUGGAUAACCUACCUAUAAGACUGGGAUAACUUCGGGAAACCGUAGCUAAUACCGGAUAAUAUUUUGAACCGCAUGGUUCAAAAGUGAAAGACGGUCUUGCUGUCACUUAUAGAUGGAUCCGCGCUGCAUUAGCUAGUUGGUAAGGUAACGGCUUACCAAGGCAACGAUGCAUAGCCGACCUGAGAGGGUGAUCGGCCACACUGGAACUGAGACACGGUCCAGACUCCUACGGGAGGGAGCAGUAGGGAAUCUUCCGCAAUGGGCGAAAGCCUGACGGAGCAACGCCGCGUGAGUGAUGAAGGUCUUCGGAUCGUAAAACUCUGUUAUUAGGGAAGAACAUAUGUGUAAGUAACUGUGCACAUCUUGACGGUACCUAAUCAGAAAGCCACGGCUAACUACGUG
This 497-nucleotide ribosomal RNA is filed under the name uncultured bacterium. RNAcentral describes it as "partial 16S ribosomal RNA". It matches the Rfam family "Bacterial small subunit ribosomal RNA", at positions 28 to 507 of the family's 1533-position model. The record is from RNAcentral.